GUGCCAGCAGCCGCGGUACUACGGAGGGUGCGAGCGUUGUUCGGAAUCAUUGGGCGUAAAGCGGGUGUAGGCGGUGGAGUGUGUCUGAUGUGAAAGCCCGUGGCUCAACCCCGGAAGUGCAUUGGAAACUGCUUCACUUGAGUCUCGGAGAGGGCAGUGGAAUUCCUGGUGUAGAGGUGAAAUUCGUAGAUAUCAGGAGGAACACCGGUGGCGAAGGCGACUGCCUGGACGAAGACUGACGCUGAGACCUGAAAGCGUGGGGAGCAAACAGGAUUAGAUACCCUGGUAGUCCACGCCGUAAACGAUGUGCACUAGAUGCUGCGGGAGAGUUGCACCUGCAGUGUCGUAGCUAACGCGUUAAGUGCACCGCCUGGGGAGUACGGCCGCAAGGCUGAAACUUAAAUGAAUUGACGGGG
This 416-nucleotide ribosomal RNA is filed under the name uncultured prokaryote. RNAcentral describes it as "bacterial SSU rRNA". It matches the Rfam family "Bacterial small subunit ribosomal RNA", at positions 505 to 918 of the family's 1533-position model. The record is from RNAcentral.